RNAcentral lists this long non-coding RNA (841 nucleotides) under Homo sapiens (human). RNAcentral's name for it is "HSALNT0290954". The record is from RNAcentral. Lineage: Eukaryota; Metazoa; Chordata; Mammalia; Primates; Hominidae.
CUCUGAUUUUUAAGUGUAAAGCUGAAAUAAUUCAACAAAAUUUAUUUUUAUUUUUGUUACAAAUUCUUUCAUACUUAGUUACAUCAUUGUGGUUUGUGGCCUCUGUUGUUUUCCUUUUCCUUUACAGGUACACCAGGCAAGUUCUCCUAAUGCCUGGCCCUCAGGGAAGCUUAUAGAGUGAGGCAAUUUGGAAAACCCUGUUUUGGAACUGAGUUGCUCCUCAAUAGCUCCCCAUGGAAGAAGGAUUCCUAGUACUGUACAUCACUGGCACACAACUUGGUCUGGAGUGAGGACUGUGGCUUCCUUCUUGAGGCACUCUGACCCAGGAGAUUCACAGACUGGAGCACCAGUCUUAGGAGAAGACCGAUUUUGGUGGAAAGUGGGUCAGAAGAGCAUGUGCAACUCAAGGAUUGCUGAGGAUGAACAAGUGCAUAGGGUAAAGUUGCUUCAUCAUGAAAGGUGAGUAUUUAGGGUAGAGACUGCGGUCUUGGUCUACAUUACUUGGUUGAGAUUAUAAAAUGGUUUCUGUCGACCCUCUCUACAAUCAGUGACAAAUUGUACUAAUAAUGAUGGACUCCUAAAAACCCUCAGUAGCCAAUCAGGUUGCAACCUCCUUCACCUUGAAGCUUUUUCCUAGAGAAUAUUUUCUUUCCGAAGGUUGUGUGGUACUUCCACUCUCCUUGAUUCCACCUUGGAAACACUGGCUACUACUUCAUAAAGAACUGGAAGGGAAGAAAGUGAUAAUGUGGAAAAGUGCCAAAACUCAGUCUGAUUUUUCCUGGCAGCUUUCCCUUGGUGUCAUUGAACUUGUGUUGGAAUAAAAGACUCCAUUCCAGAUCCA